This 499-nucleotide ribosomal RNA is filed under the name uncultured bacterium. RNAcentral's name for it is "partial 16S ribosomal RNA". It matches the Rfam family "Bacterial small subunit ribosomal RNA", at positions 28 to 507 of the family's 1533-position model. The record is from RNAcentral.
GACGAACGCUGGCGGCGUGCUUAACACAUGCAAGUCGAACGGGCCCGCUCUCUUUUUUGGGGGUGGGUUGAGUGGCGAACGGGUGAGUAUCACGUGAGUAACCUGCCCCCUGCUCCUGGAUAACUGCUUGAAAGGGCGGCUAAUACGGGGUGUGCCGGCUGGUCCGCAUGGGCCUGGUCGGGAUAGUUUCAUCUUCGGGUGUUUCGGUGGGGGAUGGGCUCGCGGCCUAUCAGCUUGUUGGUGGGGUGAUGGCCCACCAAGGCGGUGACGGGUAGCCGGCCUGAGAGGGUGGGCGGCCACACUGGGACUGAGACACGGCCCAGACUCCUGCGGGAGGCAGCAGUGGGGGGUAUUGCACAAUGGACGGAAGCCUGAUGCAGCGACGUCGCGUGAGGGAUGGAGGCCUUCGGGCUGUGAACCUCUUUCUCCGGUGGUGAAGGCCCUGUCCGUUGCGGCGGGGUUGACGGUAGCCGGGUAUGAAGCGCCGGCUAACUACGUG